CCUACGGGGGGCAGCAGUGGGGGAUAUUGCACAAUGGGGGAAACCCUGAUGCAGCGACGCCGCGUGAGUGAAGAAGUAUUUCGGUAUGUAAAGCUCCAUCAGCAGGGAAGAAAAUGACAGUACCUGACCAAGAAGCCCCGGCUAACUACGUGCCAGCAGCCGCGGUAACACGGAGGGGGCAAGCGUUAUCCGGAUUUUCUGGGUGUAAAGGGAGCGUAGAGGGUUAUGUAAGUCUGGAGUGAAAGUCCGGGGCCCAACCCCGGGACUGCUGUGGAAACUGGGUAACUGGAGUACAGGAGGGGCAGGCGGAAUGCCUGGUGUAGCGGUGAAAUGCGUAGAUAUCAGGAAGAACACCGACGGCGAAGGCAGCCUGCUGGACUGGAACUGACGUUGAGGCUCGAAAGCGUGGGGAGCGAACAGGAUUAGAUACCCUUGUAGUC
Molecule: ribosomal RNA, 440 nt
Filed under: uncultured bacterium
Lineage: Bacteria
Description: partial 16S ribosomal RNA
Rfam family: Bacterial small subunit ribosomal RNA
Source: RNAcentral